UCUCUCCUUCAACCAAACCUUCCAAGGUUAUCUUUCCCAUUGUUCAACUCAAAUCACUUAUAUCCAAACACCUUGAGAUUAUUUAUCUUAGGUUUCUUUUUGUUCAACAACUCGUAUGGAGUCUUCUCAAGUAUGGAUCUAAUGAGACACUGGCUGACUAGAUAGCAGGUCCUAGAUAGAGUAUGUCUCAACUUGAUUGACUCGGGCGAUUGUUGGAGCUUCCAAUGUAGUAGUUGGAUAUUUAUGCGUCUGAAGGUCCUAGCUCGAGUGCGCCUCAACUUGAUUGACUUGGGCGAUUGUUGGAGCUUCCAAGGUAGCAGUUGGACAUUUAGGUGUCCAAAGUUCACCUUGGACAUUUAUGUGUCCAAAUUUCACCUCUAUCUUUCCAUAAUAGUUAUGUCUUUAUUAUUGUUCGGAGACAAUUAUUAUUCCUUUGUGGUUAUAUUUCUGAUAUAUUUGACUCUU
This is a long non-coding RNA of Capsicum annuum, 465 nucleotides long. RefSeq lists it as uncharacterized. The transcript has 3 exons. NCBI's taxonomy places the organism in Eukaryota, Viridiplantae, Streptophyta, Magnoliopsida, Solanales, Solanaceae. The record is from RefSeq and is a predicted model, not a curated record.